Molecule: ribosomal RNA, 422 nt
Filed under: uncultured bacterium
Lineage: Bacteria
Description: partial 16S ribosomal RNA
Rfam family: Bacterial small subunit ribosomal RNA
Source: RNAcentral
AAUUUUGGACACUGGGGGAAACCCUGAUCCAGCCAUCCCGCGUGUAUGAUGAAGGCCUGCGGGUUGUAAAGUACUUUUGGCAGAGAAGAAAAGGUACCUCCUAAUACGAGGUACUGCUGACGGUAUCUGCAGAAUACGCACAGGCUAACUACGUGCCAGCAGCCGCGGUAAUACGCAGGGGCCAAGCGUUAACAGAAAUUACUGGGCGUAAAGCGUGGUUAGGCAGUUCGGAAAGAAAGAUGUGAAAUCCCAGGGCUCAACCUUGGAACUGCAUUUUUAACUGCCGAGCUAGAGUAUGUCAGAGGGGGGUAGAAUUCCACGUGUAGAAGUGAAAUGCGUAGAUAUGUGGAGGAAUACCGAUGGCGAAGGCAGCCCCCUGGGAUAAUACUGACGCUCAGACACGAAAGCGUGGGGAGCAAACA